GAUGAACGCUGGCGGCGUGCCUAAUACAUGCAAGUCGAGCGAACAGACGAGGAGCUUGCUCCUCUGACGUUAGCGGCGGACGGGUGAGUAACACGUGGAUAACCUACCUAUAAGACUGGGAUAACUUCGGGAAACCGGAGCUAAUACCGGAUAAUAUAUUGAACCGCAUGGUUCAAUAGUGAAAGACGGUUUUGCUGUCACUUAUAGAUGGAUCCGCGCCGCAUUAGCUAGUUGGUAAGGUAACGGCUUACCAAGGCAACGAUGCGUAGCCGACCUGAGAGGGUGCUCGGCCACACUGGAACUGAGACACGGUCUAGACUCCUACGGGAGGCAGCAGUAGGGAAUCUUCCGCAAAGGGCGAAAGCCUGACGGAGCAACGCCGCGUGAGUGAUGAAGGUCUUCGGAUCGUAAAACUCUGUUAUUAGGGAAGAACAAAUGUGUAAGUAACUAUGCACGUCUUGACGGUACCUAAUCAGAAAGCCACGGCUAACUACGU
Molecule: ribosomal RNA, 496 nt
Filed under: uncultured bacterium
Lineage: Bacteria
Description: partial 16S ribosomal RNA
Rfam family: Bacterial small subunit ribosomal RNA
Source: RNAcentral